GACGAACGCUGGCGGCGUGCUUAACACAUGCAAGUCGAACGGAAAGGCCCUGCUUUUGUGGGGUGCUCGAGUGGCGAACGGGUGAGUAACACGUGAGUAACCUGCCCUUGACUUUGGGAUAACUUCAGGAAACUGGGGCUAAUACCGGAUAGGAGCUCCUGCUGCAUGGUGGGGGUUGGAAAGUUUCGGCGGUUGGGGAUGGACUCGCGGCUUAUCAGCUUGUUGGUGGGGUAGUGGCUUACCAAGGCUUUGACGGGUAGCCGGCCUGAGAGGGUGACCGGCCACAUUGGGACUGAGAUACGGCCCAGACUCCUACGGGGGGCAGAAGUGGGGAAUAUUGCACAAUGGGCGGAAGCCUGAUGCAGCAACGCCGCGUGGGGGAUGACGGCCUUCGGGUUGUAAACCGCUUUCGCCUGUGACGAAGCGGGAGGGACGGUAAUGGGUAAAGAAGCACCGGCUAACUACGU
RNAcentral lists this ribosomal RNA (467 nucleotides) under uncultured bacterium. Its description in RNAcentral is "partial 16S ribosomal RNA". It matches the Rfam family "Bacterial small subunit ribosomal RNA", at positions 28 to 506 of the family's 1533-position model. The record is from RNAcentral.